GUCAGCGCCGGCGUCUGGCAGCGCUGUGCGCGGGAAGUUGGGCACGGAUCUGCAACUCUCUUGGAGCUGAGAUCAUUUCUGGACCAUUGUAUGGUAGAACGUACUCGGCAGUUUGAGAUGGUGACACAGAGAGAGAGAGAGGGGCGCCUGGGUUGGAGGCGCCGAUUGGACACGCGGCGAGAGGAGACGAAGGCCGAUGGCUGAGAAUACAAACGGAGCGGCAGCCAAGGGGUGAAAGCUCGUCUGGGGAGGAGGAGAUGGAGCGGACCCCGCUCCCGCAUCCCCUCGCCGCCGCCACCACCGCCGGACCCCCUCGCGGCCCGGAAGGCCGUGAGCGGGGCCCCCACCCCUCGCGGCUUCAUCCCCUCGCCGCAAGCCGAGACCCCGGGGGGCGGGGCCCCGGGCCCCGCGCCUUCAAAGCGGCGCGAUUGGAAACAGCUGCGGGGCCCGGCAGAGGAGGAGCGGCGUCGCCUUUCAUCGCGAGCCGCGACGCAGUCGCCCGCCGCCGCCGCCACUGCCGCCGCCGCGUUUCAUGAUUGCAUUCCUCGCGAGGAAUUCCUCCUCCUGCUCCUCCAUGAUGAUGCUCCUCCUCCAUGCUGCUGAUGAAGAUGAUGAUGCUCCUCCUCCAUGCUGAUGCUGAUGAUGCUCCUUCAUGUUGCUGAUGAUGAUGCUCCUCAAUCAUG
Molecule: long non-coding RNA, 683 nt
Organism: Lethenteron reissneri (Far Eastern brook lamprey)
Lineage: Eukaryota; Metazoa; Chordata; Hyperoartia; Petromyzontiformes; Petromyzontidae
Source: RefSeq, a predicted model, not a curated record